Molecule: long non-coding RNA, 1195 nt
Organism: Arachis stenosperma
Lineage: Eukaryota; Viridiplantae; Streptophyta; Magnoliopsida; Fabales; Fabaceae
Exons: 5
Source: RefSeq, a predicted model, not a curated record
CACCGCCGUGGAUGUGGCCGCCGGAAACUGUCGCGAGAACCUCUAUCUUCUGGGGUUGAGUUCCGAUGAUUUCAUGUCAAAAUUAAGGUUGCCAUUGAACCACCGUAACUUCUGGCCGUGCCUCUGUCGCCGGACAACACCGCUGCCGCCUGGAACCUCCAUUGAAGUCUGUAUCUGUGUGGAUGUAUGAUCACAUGGUCACUGCAAGUUUUUCUGUCCUGGGCCACCAUUAGAGCCGCCCAACCGGUGUUGAAAUCGCUGCUGCUAUGUGUUCUUUUAUAAUCAAAAGCCGAGCUUACACGUAGCAUUUGAAGCUAUUUCUGCUUUUGGGAAAGCAAGCGGAGAAGAGGCUUCAGUUGCUGCUGAAUUUGGGCUGAGAGAAACGAGUUCAGUUGACGCGUUUGGAUUAUGGUUUCGCGUAUCGAGCUUUACCUUUUCAGGAACCGGAUGAAGAAGCAUUAAGAAGAGUUAUACUGUGUUUGGUUUAUAUACUGAUGUAUUAAUUAGAUUAUUUUCUUCCCUCGUCCUUAUUAUUACAAGUUUGUAAGAGGGAUAGGAAUUGUAUGUUUUAUAUGUAUAAUAUAUUGAAUUAUUAUGUAAGGAGUCUUGUAUAUGAAUCUAUGCCUAUUUGUAUUUUUUCUUAAGUUAAAGUGUUUAUUUCCGGUUUUCAAGGAAAUCAGCGACACAGUGUCGAGUCACAGGCUCCUAUUUUAGUAUUUAGUAUGUGAAGUAGUCGUAAUACUCCUUGCUAUCAGAGUAGCGCAGCCGGAAGCGUGACUUCUGAUAGUGAGGGUGUCACAUUAUGGUAUCAGAGCUGUCUUUCCUGUAGAGCCUUGGGAAUGGACUGAUUAUGCUUCAAUUGCAUACUCUGAGAGUCUAUCAUGUAGUAGGUCUUGUUUGAAUAACGAGAACUAGAAUUUUAAGCACAUGACUGCCUAUUAAUUAACGUUGUUAGCUUACCGUUGCAUAUCUGUUGAUGUUAAGUCUGGCCAACUUAAUGUUGAUGACUUAUGUGAACGGGAAAGUUAAUAGGUUAUUAUAGGCGAAAAGGAAUUGAUAAGUAAUGGUUAAUGCGAGUCACGUGGUUCGCGGAUGCUAGGGUUCGCUUUUCGUGCUUGGUUUAUGAUUCUUGUUUACGUCGCUUAGGUUGGCAUAUCGUUUCUUUUUUUUGUUUACUAUCCUCAUUGAAGUUCUU